RNAcentral lists this small nuclear RNA (281 nucleotides) under Nannospalax galili (Upper Galilee mountains blind mole rat). RNAcentral's name for it is "7SK RNA (ENSNGAG00000001813.1)". It matches the Rfam family "7SK RNA". Rfam says of the family: 7SK was discovered as an abundant small nuclear RNA in the mid-70s but a possible function has only recently been suggested. Lineage: Eukaryota; Metazoa; Chordata; Mammalia; Rodentia; Spalacidae. The record is from Rfam by way of RNAcentral.
GGAUAUGACGGUGAUUUGACCGUGGCAACUAUUGCCACACUGAUCGUCACAGUUGAUCGGCUGACCUGGCUGGCAAGGUGGGUGUCCCUUUUCUCGCUCACUGCCCCCUAUGCCUCCCUCCCAAACCUACAGAGAGAGGACAACCUUUCUGAUCCAGGAGGACCAUUCUUCAGUCAGGUAUAGGUAGCUGUGUUCCUCUGCUAGAAGCAACAAGGAUCAAGAAAAAAACACUUGUGACAUUAAACAAAUCACAGGACAUUCAACUUCAGUGUCCAUACCUG